Molecule: ribosomal RNA, 253 nt
Filed under: uncultured bacterium
Lineage: Bacteria
Description: partial 16S ribosomal RNA
Rfam family: Bacterial small subunit ribosomal RNA
Source: RNAcentral
UACAGAGGUCUCAAGCGUUGUUCGGAUUCAUUGGGCGUAAAGGGUGCGUAGGUGGCGCGGUAAGUCGGGUGUGAAAUUUCGGAGCUUAACUCCGAAACUGCAUUCGAUACUGCCGUGCUUGAGGACUGGAGAGGAGACUGGAAUUUACGGUGUAGCAGUGAAAUGCGUAGAGAUCGUAAGGAAGACCAGUGGCGAAGGCAGGUCUCUGGGCCAUAACUGACGCUGAGAAGCGAAAGCAUGGGGAGCGAACAGG